RNAcentral lists this ribosomal RNA (634 nucleotides) under uncultured bacterium. Its description in RNAcentral is "bacterial SSU rRNA". The stretch from base 1 to 544 matches the Rfam family "Bacterial small subunit ribosomal RNA", at positions 338 to 873 of the family's 1533-position model. The record is from RNAcentral.
CCUACGGGAGGCAGCAGUGGGGAAUUUUGGACAAUGGGCGAAAGCCUGAUCCAGCCAUUCCGCGUGAGUGAAGAAGGCCUUCGGGUUGUAAAGCUCUUUCGCAAGGGAAGAAAACUUAGAUACUAAUAUUAUCUGAGGUUGACGGUACCUUGAUAAGAAGCACCGGCUAACUACGUGCCAGCAGCCGCGGUAAUACGUAGGGUGCGAGCGUUAAUCGGAAUUACUGGGCGUAAAGCGUGCGCAGGCGGUUUUGUAAGUCAGAUGUGAAAUCCCCGAGCUCAACUUGGGAACUGCGUUUGAAACUACAAGACUAGAAUAUGUCAGAGGGGGGUAGAAUUCCACGUGUAGCAGUGAAAUGCGUAGAGAUGUGGAGGAAUACCAAUGGCGAAGGCAGCCCCCUGGGAUAAUAUUGACGCUCAUGCACGAAAGCGUGGGGAGCAAACAGGAUUAGAUACCCUGGUAGUCCACGCCCUAAACGAUGUCUACUAGUUGUUGGUGGAGUAAAAUCCAUGAGUAACGCAGCUAACGCGUGAAGUAGACCGCCUGGGGGAGGUACGGUCGGUCGAGAAGUUAAACGUAACGUUAAAGAAGUUAGAGGCGUUGAGAGNGCGACGGACGACGACGAGGGAGGAGG